This 497-nucleotide ribosomal RNA is filed under the name uncultured bacterium. RNAcentral's name for it is "partial 16S ribosomal RNA". It matches the Rfam family "Bacterial small subunit ribosomal RNA", at positions 28 to 507 of the family's 1533-position model. The record is from RNAcentral.
GACGAACGCUGGCGGCGUGCCUAAUACAUGCAAGUUGAGCGCUGAAGGUUGGUACUUGUACCAACUGGAUGAGCAGCGAACGGGUGAGUAACGCGUGGGGAAUCUGCCUUUGAGCGGGGGACAACAUUUGGAAACGAAUGCUAAUACCGCAUAAAAACUUUAAACACAAGUUUUAAGUUUGAAAGAUGCAAUUGCAUCACUCAAAGAUGAUCCCGCGUUGUAUUAGCUAGUUGGUGAGGUAAAGGCUCACCAAGGCGAUGAUACAUAGCCGACCUGAGAGGGUGCUCGGCCACAUUGGGACGGAGACACGGCCCAAACCCCUACGGGAGGCAGCAGUAGGGAAUCUUCGGCAAUGGACGAAAGUCUGACCGAGCAACGCCGCGUGAGUGAAGAAGGUUUUCGGAUCGUAAAACUCUGUUGGUAGAGAAGAACGUUGGUGAGAGUGGAAAGCUCAUCAAGUGACGGUAACUACCCAGAAAGGGACGGCUAACUACGUG